This 888-nucleotide ribosomal RNA is filed under the name uncultured bacterium. RNAcentral's name for it is "bacterial SSU rRNA". It matches the Rfam family "Bacterial small subunit ribosomal RNA", at positions 505 to 1397 of the family's 1533-position model. The record is from RNAcentral.
GUGCCAGCAGCCGCGGUAAUACGUAGGUGGCGAGCGUUAUCCGGAAUGAUUGGGCGUAAAGGGUGCGUAGGCGGCAAGAUAAGUCUGAAGUCAAAGCUGGCAGCUCAACUGUCAUACGCUUUGGAAACUGUCUGGCUAGAGUGCAGAAGAGGGUGAUGGAACUCCAUGUGUAGCGGUAAAAUGCGUAGAUAUAUGGAAGAACACCGGUGGCGAAGGCGGUCACCUGGUCUGGUAACUGACGCUGAGGCACGAAAGCGUGGGGAGCAAAUAGGAUUAGAUACCCUAGUAGUCCACGCCGUAAACGAUGAGAACUAAGUGUUGGGGGAAUAACUCAGUGCUGCAGUUAACGCAAUAAGUUCUCCGCCUGGGGAGUAUGUACGCAAGUAUGAAACUCAAAGGAAUUGACGGGGGCCCGCACAAGCGGUGGAGUAUGUUGGUUUAAUUCGAAGCAACGCGAAGAACCUUUACCAGGCCUUGACAUCCCUCGCAAAGAUAUAGAGAUAUAUUGGAGGCUAACGAGGAGACAGGUGGUGCAUGGUUGUCGUCAGCUCGUGUCGUGAGAUGUUGGGUUAAGUCCCGCAACGAGCGCAACCCUUGUGAUAUGUUACCCAGUAUUAAGUUAGGGGACUCAUAUCAGACUGCCGGUGACAAAUCCGGAGGAAGGUGGGGAUGACGUCAAAUCAUCAUGCCCCUUAUGGCCUGGGCUACACACGUACUACAAUGGCAGCUACAAAGAGCAGCGACAUCGUGAGAUGAAGCGAAUCUCGUAAAGGCUGUCUCAGUUCGGAUUGAAGUCUGCAACCCGACUUCAUGAAGUUGGAAUCGCUAGUAAUCGCGAAUCAGCAUGUCGCGGUGAAUACGUUCUCGGGCCUUGUACACACCGCCCGU